UGUCAGCUAUUAGUGAAUUUAAGAAUCUGGUAAUCAGUUUCGUAAACGGUUUCCUUUGAAUAAUGUUAAAAUCCGGAAAUUUCGAUAGCAUCGUAAAUAUAGAUAACAAUAUCCACCAUUAUUCUUGUAAAACCACUAAUAUGAUAAGUACAAGAUUUUUUUAAAAGCGAAGUUUGGUAACUUGUUGAAUCCAAUCGAUGAAUUUAGUGACUCGGGUGAACACGCCAGGUUUAUUACUGGGACAAUAUCCGUCUCCAUAGCUAACGAUUCCGAUUUGAAGAGGGACAUUAUUUUUGAAUACGAUCAACGGGCCGCCGCUAUCACCCUGCAUUUCCAGUAAAACCAAUAAAGUUCCGGAUUUUUAAGCAAAAAAUUGCGAAAAAAGAGGUAACGACAGGAUGAUUUACCUGACAUGCGUCUUGAUGGUAUGAGGCUGAAGUGCAUAUGUGUUUCUCCGUUACAGCCCAAUGCGAGGAGCAUUCGUCAUUCGAAAUAAUUGGUAGAAGCGCGUACUUUAGUCUUUUCGUUCCACCUCCGGUAG
RNAcentral lists this unclassified non-coding RNA (541 nucleotides) under Bombus terrestris (buff-tailed bumblebee). RNAcentral's name for it is "misc RNA ENSBTSG00005024771.1". The record is from RNAcentral. Lineage: Eukaryota; Metazoa; Arthropoda; Insecta; Hymenoptera; Apidae.